GGAAGUAAAAGUCGUAACAAGGUUUCCGUAGGCGAACCUGCGGAAGGAUCAUUACUGAUUUAGCGAACCGAGCGUUAGCGAGGUUUUGCGAUCACUUAUAUUUAAAACCCACUCUUUGAACGUAUAAAAUUUUAUGUAUUAAUGAUAAAAAUAAAAGAUCACUUUCAACAACGGAUCUCUUGGCUCUCGCAUCGAUGAAGAACGUAGCGAAGUGCGAUAAGUAAUGUGAAUUGCAGUAUUCCGUGAAUCAUCGAAUCUUUGAACGCAUAUUGCACUUUCUGGUAUUCCGGAAAGUAUGCCUGUUUGAGGGUCAGUUAAAUAAAAAUCGGUGUUGUUGCUGCCUUUCGUGGUGACGCGUCGGAAUUGAGUUGUCUUACCUUCGGUUAAGUGACUUAAAAUUUUGUAUGAUUUUUGAACGUAUUUAAAUUUAUUUGUACGUUUGAGAUAUCGAAUAUUUAUUAGGUUCGGUCAUUCUAACGACUCGCGCCUAUAAUUUUCCAUUAAAUGACCUCAAAUCAGGUAAGAAUACCCGCUGAACUUAAGCAUAUCAAUAAGCGGAGGA
RNAcentral lists this ribosomal RNA (562 nucleotides) under uncultured Glomus. RNAcentral's name for it is "eukaryotic LSU rRNA". The stretch from base 160 to 313 matches the Rfam family "5.8S ribosomal RNA". The record is from RNAcentral. Lineage: Eukaryota; Fungi; Glomeromycota; Glomeromycetes; Glomerales; Glomeraceae.